Molecule: non-coding RNA, 71 nt
Organism: Biomphalaria glabrata
Lineage: Eukaryota; Metazoa; Mollusca; Gastropoda; Planorbidae
Source: Rfam
UUGGAAGUGAUGACUCUUAAAGCAUUGAUUAUCUUAAUGAUUAAAGCUUGUAUUCGUACUGUCUGAUCCAU